GUCUACGGUCAUGCCACCCUGAACAAGCCCAAUCCCGUCUGAUCUUGGAAGCUAAGCAAGGUUGAGCCUGGUUAGUACUUGGAUGGGAGACCACCUAGAAAGACCAGGUGCUGUAGGUG
Molecule: ribosomal RNA, 119 nt
Filed under: Pteropus alecto (black flying fox)
Lineage: Eukaryota; Metazoa; Chordata; Mammalia; Chiroptera; Pteropodidae
Also listed under: 1 other name
Source: RNAcentral